Molecule: ribosomal RNA, 254 nt
Filed under: uncultured bacterium
Lineage: Bacteria
Description: partial 16S ribosomal RNA
Rfam family: Bacterial small subunit ribosomal RNA
Source: RNAcentral
UACGAAGGGGGCUAGCGUUGCUCGGAAUGACUGGGCGUAAAGGGCGCGUAGGCGGAUGGCACAGUCAGAUGUGAAAUUCCCGGGCUUAACCUGGGGGCUGCAUUUGAUACGUGUUGUCUUGAGUUCGGAAGAGGGUCGUGGAAUUCCCAGUGUAGAGGUGAAAUUCGUAGAUAUUGGGAAGAACACCGGUGGCGAAGGCGGCGACCUGGUCCGACACUGACGCUGAGGCGCGAAAAGCGUGGGGAGCAAACAGG